CUCAAUGAAAAUUUAAUAGCCGCAAUAUUAUUGUGCUAAGGUAGCAUAAUCAUUUGUCUUUUAAUUAAAGACUAGAACGAAAGAUCCUAUAUUUUUAUUUCUUUCUUAUAUAUAAAUUAUUUAAUUUAUUCUAAAUAUAAAAAAAUAUUUAUAACAUAAAAAGACGACAAGACCCUAUUGAACUUAACUAAAGUUAAACUGGGGUAGUUAAUUAAAUAUAAUUUUAAUUUAAAUUAUAAAAAUAUCCUAAUACAAUUAAACAUAUUAAGUUACCAUAGGGAUAACAGCGUAAUAAUUUUCUCAAGAUCUUAUAUAAAAAUUUGCUUACGACCUCGAUGUUGAAUUAAUAAUCUAUUAAAUGCAAUAAUUUAAUAAGAAAGUCUGUUCGACUU
RNAcentral lists this ribosomal RNA (392 nucleotides) under Draconarius curvabilis. RNAcentral describes it as "partial 16S ribosomal RNA". Lineage: Eukaryota; Metazoa; Arthropoda; Arachnida; Araneae; Agelenidae. The record is from RNAcentral.